This is a long non-coding RNA of Siniperca chuatsi (mandarin fish), 398 nucleotides long. RefSeq lists it as uncharacterized. NCBI's taxonomy places the organism in Eukaryota, Metazoa, Chordata, Actinopteri, Centrarchiformes, Sinipercidae. The record is from RefSeq and is a predicted model, not a curated record. The transcript has 3 exons.
GUUUGGAGAAGGAAUUGGUGGUGUGUGUCUGUGCCAGUGUGUGUGUGAGGCAGGCGGUGUCUGGCUUAGUGGCUGAGUAUUGCUGCUUUACCCUCCCAGUAAGUCAACGUACAGCGAUCUGCUAUAGGUACCUUUGAGCAUCUGUGUAAGACGCACCAGGCAUCAGAGGAACUACUCCAGUCGUCCAUUCACUCCAAUAUUAACCUGACUGCGGCACUAAGACUCUGUGAGCAUCAGUCCCACUGGAGAACCGAGGACCCGCCGCCUGUGGCUCAGCAAGAUCGUGACUUAUCCUUGGUGUGUCUAAGGUUGUGAGUUCCAGUCCUGGGUGAUGCAAAAUAAACCUGCUAAUGUCUACGCCAUUGUGCCGUGUCGAUUAAAGAAGCGUGACUUCAAGG